RNAcentral lists this ribosomal RNA (253 nucleotides) under uncultured bacterium. Its description in RNAcentral is "partial 16S ribosomal RNA". It matches the Rfam family "Bacterial small subunit ribosomal RNA", at positions 524 to 776 of the family's 1533-position model. The record is from RNAcentral.
UACGUAGGGGGCGAGCGUUGUCCGGAGUUACUGGGCGUAAAGGGCAUGCAGGCGGUCCGACACGUUUUGUGUGACAGCGGGUGGCUUAACUACCCGAGGAUACGAAAGACGGUAGGACUUGAGGACUCGAGAGGGACACGGAAUUCCGGGUGGAGUGGUGAAAUGCGUAGAGAUCCGGAGGAACACCGAAGGCGAAGGCAGUGUCCUGGCGAGUGACUGACGCUGAGGUGCGAAAGCCAGGGGAGCGAACAGG